This 68-nucleotide non-coding RNA is filed under the name unclassified sequences. RNAcentral describes it as "S15-Flavobacteria ribosomal protein leader". It matches the Rfam family "S15-Flavobacteria ribosomal protein leader". The record is from RNAcentral.
UAUAUUUGCCCCUCUGUUUAUAACAGAUGUAAUUUGUACAUAAUAAUUAUUUAAAAAAUGUUUGCAUG